Small nucleolar RNA from Capsicum annuum, 107 nucleotides. NCBI's taxonomy places the organism in Eukaryota, Viridiplantae, Streptophyta, Magnoliopsida, Solanales, Solanaceae. The record is from RefSeq and is a predicted model, not a curated record.
AUUUCAUGGUUAGGGCAAUUUGCGAAUAUUUCCUUGAAUCUUUCCCAUGCUUCAAGCCAUGGUUCUUCAUGGAAUUUAUGAAAAUUAACAAUCUCAUCCCAUAAUAU